CUCGGACGAUCCUUCUCAGCCGCUAAUGGACGACCAAGGUUGCUCAGCGAGGGGCUGAAAAGCUCCACGACUGUGGACUUUGGGAGUGGUUUGCUUAGCCCCCACGAGGUUUGCAAGUGAGCCAAGAUCAAGAGCCAGGCUGCCAGGGUCGCCGCCCAGGGCUACGGCCUAGGCGGAUCCCUCGACUUUUCUAUAUUUUGUUCCAUACUAUGCUGCCAAAUGCAUCCUUAGCCUCUUUCAUAAACUUUGCAAUAUGACUCCUUGUACUUUAUGCCUUACCGUACUUUAGCUCCAAACU
Molecule: long non-coding RNA, 298 nt
Organism: Ipomoea triloba (trilobed morning glory)
Lineage: Eukaryota; Viridiplantae; Streptophyta; Magnoliopsida; Solanales; Convolvulaceae
Exons: 3
Source: RefSeq, a predicted model, not a curated record